Molecule: ribosomal RNA, 329 nt
Filed under: Enterobacter sp. CR3.6
Lineage: Bacteria; Pseudomonadati; Pseudomonadota; Gammaproteobacteria; Enterobacterales; Enterobacteriaceae
Description: bacterial SSU rRNA
Rfam family: Bacterial small subunit ribosomal RNA
Source: RNAcentral
GCGGUAAUACGGAGGGUGCAAGCGUUAAUCGGAAUUACUGGGCGUAAAGCGCACGCAGGCGGUCUGUCAAGUCGGAUGUGAAAUCCCCGGGCUCAACCUGGGAACUGCAUUCGAAACUGGCAGGCUAGAGUCUUGUAGAGGGGGGUAGAAUUCCAGGUGUAGCGGUGAAAUGCGUAGAGAUCUGGAGGAAUACCGGUGGCGAAGGCGGCCCCCUGGACAAAGACUGACGCUCAGGUGCGAAAGCGUGGGGAGCAAACAGGAUUAGAUACCCUGGUAGUCCACGCCGUAAACGAUGUCGACUUGGAGGUUGUGCCCAAGAGGCGUGGCUU